RNAcentral lists this non-coding RNA (5857 nucleotides) under Pan troglodytes (chimpanzee). Lineage: Eukaryota; Metazoa; Chordata; Mammalia; Primates; Hominidae. The record is from RNAcentral.
CAUUCUCUUCAUUCAAGCGUUUAAUACCACAUUUAUCAAAGGCAACUCUCUGAUGCAAUGUUUAACAAGUGUCUUCUCAGGAGUGUAUCCGUGUCAUUUAUUCUUCUCAUCCAACUCUAGGUUGAGGAGCAGGAAACACAUAAUGAAACUCCGGCAUGACAGUACUUAAUCCACAGAACAAGGAUUUCAUCCCAUCACUUAUCUCUAAGCUCCACAAGGAGGUUUGGUACAAAGCAAUUAAAUCAUCCUUCAGGCCACCCAGCUCCCAAUGUGGGUUUUCUCCCAAACAGCUACGCUCAUUUCAGUUGUUAAAUGUGACAGUGGCUUUUAAGUACAUUGUCCCAGAAGUCCUAAACAGGAAGAAUACUGUAACCUCUCAUUUAAGAGAUCAUGAACCCUGUACUGACUGUGACGACAAUCACGAAAGUAAGCAAAGAGAAGUUCUGAGCAGUCACCAUCCCUUCACAAAUCAAAGCACUAAAGCUCACACCCAGAACCUCAAGACCGUCUAAGACCAUUUCCCCACAAUGCUAACUAGGGGACACUUCAAUAGAUAAGAUUAGAAGCAUGAACUGAGGUGGAAGGAAGCCACUAAUGGCAGAUAAGCCAAGAGGAACUAGAUGUGACAGCUGACAUCCAGAGAAGAGACAGAAACUGAUUUGGUCUCAGACUCAGAAGCCAAAGCAAUCUGAGACCCGUUUCCACAAAGGGCAAAUAGUUUUCCACACGUGAAUUGCCUUUGAGAGUAUAACAUACUAGAAUACGGCGUAACAACUGGCAUUAACGGUAAUUCGGUUUAAUUUAACAAACAGCUACCAUUCUUGUAUGUAUACUUUAUGCUAUUAAACAUAAACAUGAAUAAAUAUGUGCUUAUUAUCUUCAAAAUAACUUUAAAAAUUAAGUGGUAUUUUAGAGGCUUUGUUUAAUGAAACACUAUAUAGUUCAGAUAGAUUUUGGUUAUUUUAUCUUUAUUUUUAUCUUUUUGAGAAAGUCUCGUUGUGUCACCCUAGCUAAAGUGCAGUAGCAUCAUCUCUGCUCACUGCAACCUCUGCCUCCCAGAUUCAAGUGAUUCUCCUGCCUCAGCCUCCUGAGUAGCUGGGGCUACAGACCCGCACCACCAAAUUGGCCUGGUUAAUUUUUGUAUUUUCAGUAGAGAUGGGGUUUCACCAUGUUGGCCAGCCUGGUCUUGAACUUCUGCCCUCAAGUGAUCCACUCACCUGAGCCUCCCAAUGUGCUGGGAUUACAGGCGUGAGCCACCACACCUGGCCAGAUUUUGGUUAUGUUUUAAUUAAUAAGCUUCAAUACUUAAGGGGAUAAGCUUCAAUAGUUGGAAAAAUCAGUGCAUAUAAAAAAUCUACUUUAGAAUAGAUUUAAAAAUUAAGCAUAAAGUGCCAUAAGAACAAUGAAAUAUCUGUGUUACUGCACUGAUGGUAUUUUGUGCCCAUUUAUAGAAACUUACUGGAAUGCCCAGCCAUGUAACUCUUUAAUACCAUUUAAUACAAGAACCUAUCCUAAUGACUGCUUCAUUAAGGGACAGAAACUCUCCCUGAUGAGCUUACAAUUUAUUCAUGUCCCAACUACCUACCAACUCUCUAAGGCAAACAGUAAGGUACUUUCUUAUCUAGAAAAAUAUCCAAUAUAAACAGCAAUGUAAAGAAACACUGUUAAUUUCUCAAUGGGAACUGAAAAAAAAAAAGUGUGGCUAGAUAACUGAUUUGAAAGAGAAAAACAUGCCCACACUGAGAAUGACAAUUCACACAGGUCUGAGGGCCACGUCCAGCUCACCAUCUUCAUACAUCACCAACAGCACACACUCACAGGCAGCCGCAUGCACACCUGACCGUUAAGAAGUUUGCAAAGGAUGCGUGGUUUACCUUCCCACAGCGGAAGACUCUGCGGAGCAACUGAAGGCCAGAUGACAAGGUUGUUGGCUUCAAAGAGGGGAUUGGUGAAUUUACUCAGCUCACUGGGCUGAUUAACCCAGGACCACAAAGACAUCGUCUUCUGCUGUAGCUUCAACUUACAUCUGAUCAAGAAAGAACACUGCCAUUAAAGUAAUUAAUUUAUAACAACCAUUAUUGAGUGCUCCUCUUACUAGGACAAUUUCUUCUCAGUAUGAAAGAAGAUAGAAUACAAGACUUUUGGUAGAGAAACAAAGUGUUGAAAAAUCAAUAGAUUUGUCAAAAAGCUCAAUCGGCAUUAGAACUCUCAACAACAACAAAACAAAGAGUAUUUUACAGGCUUCCAAGAAGCUGGCAGGAGGAUAAAAACAGAAUCUGGUCACAUCAGGUUUGGUGUUAAACCUUAACCCAGAGAACAUUACUGUACACAAAAGACCUUUGUUAUAUUUGGGAUUCUAUUUUAAUUAAAAAUAGCUAAGCAUAAAAAAACUUUCUAACCUUUUUGUUUCUGAGAAGCCUAUAAUAUACACAUAAAAAUUAUACACUUUUUGACAUUUAUGUCCUAUUUAUUUUUCUAGUUUCUGUAAGAAAGGGCUUGUUGUGCAGAAACAACCAGGAUAGCUUACAAAUAUCAAUGUCUGGAAAGACCCCCAGGGUCUUCAUUAUUUACAUUGUUUGAUAACCACUUUCUAAUUGUUUUUUUUUAAUUUUUUAUUUUAAUUUUUCCAUAAGUUAUUGGGGAACAGGUGGUAUUUGGUUACAUGAGUAAGUUCCGUAGUGGCGAUUUGUGAGAUUCUGGUGCACCCAUCACCCGAGCAGUAUACACUGAACCCUAUUUGUAGUCUUUUAUCCCUUGUCCCCCUUCUGUCCCUCCCCCAAGUCCCCAAAGUCCACUGUAACCUUCUUACGCCCAUAUUAAUAUUAAAAAUGGAGGUUGAGUCAAAUCUCAAACAAAACUUAAAAUUUUUUAGAGACUUAGCUUUCAGGGAAAAUAACUUACAUGUACAUAAAAUACAGAUUGUCAAAGAUGAAAAAUCAAUGUGAAUCUUGACGUAAAUACAUAUUUAAUCUAUAUCCACAUACAAUGAACAGGCUUCAUAAUAAUUCUAAAACUCUGGAACACUCUUUAUCAUGUAAUAAACUGUUAGAGAAGGAUAAUAGUCAAUCGGCAUGUUUUAGAAAAAAAUACAUUUUAACACAGAUUGAAAGACAGUCUGUGGUAAACCUUACAUCAACCAAAAAGAUAAUACAUUCAAUUCUCAUAAGACUCAGUUUAAGCUGAGAUUUUAUUAUAAAAUCAGUUUUGUCUCUGAAACCACAUGAUUACUUAUGAGCUACGUGCAACUUACUGCAUUCUUUUUGAGCUAGCAAUAAAAAUAAUCCACAUAAUCACAGAGCCUAUGUGGCACUGGACUUUAACUGCUGGGAUAGCAUGUCCCACGCUAUGUUCCCAGGAACAAGGGAUGACAAGGACAGGACAUUAUUGCAUCCACUGCCUCCAGCCCUGUGCCCCCUGCCCAUGGCCGGCCAACCACUGAACUUGCUCUGGCUGAGCCUGACACCACUUCAGAAUCCUUCCCAUCAGCAUUGCUGGCAGCCUCUACCAACUGGGAAACAGAAUGGGAAUCUAUUUUGAUCCCUUCAUGAAAGCUAGUCCUGAGGAUAUUAACAGGUAUAACACCAAAAAAAAUUCAUCAUCAAACACAUUUCUUUAAUGCUGAAUUAAACUUAUAUACAUUGCUUUACUGAAGGGUGUCUUAAAGCCUUUAAUGAUUAUGCGUUAAUCCUUAAAUCCUCCCCUCUAAGUGGGGAGGAUAUUAUGUCAUAUUCACCAAACUUCCUCGGCUAUAGAAAUUGCCAAUCCCUCCUGUCCCUCCCUGCCAGAGUACAGUCCAGGGCUAAGCAACACGUGCUUCAGAAAAUGGUGGCUGCCAGCAAUGAGGCAAGGAAGUCUGGUGAUUGUACCCUGAAGAGAUUACCAGGCAACCUCCCUGAAAGAUCAUUCUGGUGUGAAUCUUCUAAAUGAACCUAUACACUUGAUGGUGCCUGGGCUGUAAGGUGAGCUUGUCACUCUGGCCGGAGGACAGUUUCUAGGUGUAACAAAGUCUAGAGCAGGAGGAGGAAGACCUGUAAUUUAGGCCAGGGAUCCCCAAACCCCAGGCCAUGGACCAGUAAGGGUCCGUGGCCUGUUAGGAACUGGCCACACAGCAGGAGGUGAGUGGCAGAUGAGCGCGUAUUUCCACCUCCUGUCAGAUCAGCAUCAGCAUUAGAUUCUCAGAGAAGCGCAAACCCAACUGUGAGCUGCGCAUGUGGGGAAUCUAGGGUGCGCCUUUAUGAGAAUUCUCCUUAUGAGAAUCUAAUGCCUGAUGAUCUGAGAUGGAUCAGUUUCACCCCAAAACCAUCACCAAUCCCGCUGCCACCCAAUCCAAAGAAAAGUUGUUAUCCACAAAACUGGUCCCUGGUGCCAAAAUGGUUGGGGAUCGCUGCUCUAGGCCACACUUUUGAUGACCAGCUGGCUCUAUGUCCUGGGAAAAGUCACGUAACUUCUCUGGAUCUUACUUUCUUAAUAAAAUUAGAGGGAAGACCUGAAUUAUAAAUCAAGGCUUUUUCCACAUGUAAGGUAAUAUGAUCCUAUGUAAAGAAAUUAACAUUUAAAAUGGUUGCCCCUUAAUUCAUGUAUGGACUAAUUUUAACCUAACAGAACAAAGUCUAGGACAUGCUCUCAUAAAGGAAUAUACUUCAGGUCAUUUAACUUAUAAUUAAUUGUAGCCUCUACCUCUUUAUAAAUAAUUUUAAUAUAGAUCCAAAUCGUGGUCUCCUAAGAGAUUCUGGCUACUUAGGAAGUAGCCAAAACAAUGGAAAAGGAAAGGUCCCCAUAUGAGCAGUGUACUCACCUUUCACUUUCAUUGUUGCCCAGAAAUGUUCCAAACUGUGAGGCAUAAGCAUGCUCAAAGAGCAUGAUGAGGAAAUUCUCAUUAAAUUCAAAAGAACAGGGAAACUGACGAAGGAUCUGCCACACGCAGUCCAAGAAGAGAAGAAAUACAGGAGCCUCCCACUUCUGCUUCGUGUUACAGUAGGCUGACUGUGCACAGCGCUGCUGGAACGGGUGACCAGCCUAGGGGGAAGAUGGAGGCGUGACAGUCAUAUCCUGGUGAGAUCACAUGACAGAGCAUUCUACCGACACCAGUACACACAAUCACAGAACCGACACCACUACACACAGUUACAGUGACACUCCUAGUACCUGGAACAUCAUAUAAUUAGGGUAGCUGUUGUACAGAUUAAUGACUUCUUGGUAUAAAAUAAAUAGCGGCAGCAACUAAGGAAAAAGACACACUUCCAAAACCUUAAUGAGGCUGCGCAGCUAAGGUGUGACCACAGGAACUGCACUGCCCUUGGAAUAUCCCAUGGAAGAAUAAUGAACUUAAGCAAUAACAAACUUACAAAAUAAACCUUUCUAGGUCUACAAAACCUGGAGCAAAGUCAAAGAACAUAAGCUCUCAGUACAAAGAAGAAUCAUCACCUCUGUCUAACACUGUAGAUUGUGCUGUACACUAAACAAGCCUCACCCUAAGUGGAGACAGAUAUGGAACUCUGAUCACCUUUAUAAUGUCAGCUCUGAUAGUAAAUCUCUAAUUAUAUAUGCAAAGUUAUUGUGUUGAAAGAUCUUUAUGAGUACUUUUCUACAGGAGAUAAAGCUGUCAUUAAUUACCCUCUUCUCCCAAAAUGAACAGCAAGAGUCUGCCAUCUACUGACCAAAGUAAAUUUAAGACUCAUUUGACUGUCUUGUUCAGAAUCCAAAUGCUGACCUUAAUACAAAUCAUACUCUGCUAGGAAUUUCACAGAUCUGCUUUGUCUCUGGGUCCUUUUACUACUGUAUGUGACAAAGGUAAUGCCAUAGAAAUUUUACAGUGGUUCACAGAAUUGUGAUAUCCAUUAAAAUAACAUAUAAAUCA